This 433-nucleotide ribosomal RNA is filed under the name uncultured bacterium. RNAcentral describes it as "partial 16S ribosomal RNA". It matches the Rfam family "Bacterial small subunit ribosomal RNA", at positions 29 to 507 of the family's 1533-position model. The record is from RNAcentral.
AACGAACGCUGGCGGCAUGCCUAACACAUGCAAGUCGAACGAGAACUUCGGGUCUAGUGGCGCACGGGUGCGUCACGCGUGGGAACCUGCCCUUAGGUUCGGAAUAACUCCCCGAAAGGGGUGCUAAUACCGGAUAAUGUCUUCGGACCAAAGAUUUAUCGCCUUUGGAUGGGCCCGCGUUGGAUUAGCUAGUUGGUAGGGUAAAAGCCUACCAAGGCGACGAUCCAUAGCUGGUCUGAGAGGAUGAUCAGCCACACUGGGACUGAGACACGGCCCAGACUCCUACGGGAGGCAGCAGUGGGGAAUAUUGGACAAUGGGCGAAAGCCUGAUCCAGCAAUGCCGCGUGAGUGAUGAAGGCCUUAGGGUUGUAAAGCUCUUUUACCCGUGAUGAUAAUGACAGUACCGGGAGAAUAAGCUCCGGCUAACUCCGUG